UACGAAGGGGGCUAGCGUUGCUCGGAAUCACUGGGCGUAAAGCGCACGUAGGCGGAUCGUUAAGUCGAGGGUGAAAUCCUGGAGCUCAACUCCAGAACUGCCUUCGAUACUGGCGAUCUUGGAGUCCGGGAGAGGUGAGUGGAACUCCGAGUGUAGAGGUGAAAUUCGUAGAUAUUCGGAAGAACACCAGUGGCGAAGGCGGCUCACUGGCCCGGUACUGACGCUGAGGUGCGAAAGCGUGGGGAGCAAACAGG
This 254-nucleotide ribosomal RNA is filed under the name uncultured bacterium. RNAcentral's name for it is "partial 16S ribosomal RNA". It matches the Rfam family "Bacterial small subunit ribosomal RNA", at positions 524 to 776 of the family's 1533-position model. The record is from RNAcentral.